AACGGCACCAGGACCCACAUGAAAAUAUAGAACAACAAAACAAGAAAAAUCGUAGUAACUCUCGGCCACACAUGCAAAUCUUAAGAAACAGGGUUGAAAUGGGUGAAUCGAAAUUACCAAUCAUGAUUUGAAUCAUGCUAUGAACAUAUGAAUGAUUAUAAUCCAGAAGAAAUUCCUCGAGUAUGUCCGUCGUUUCAUUUAAGCAUUUUCACAAACAUAUGGUGUUCGUUUUUAACGCAACUCACGGAGACAUUAACAGAGUGCUUAUCUCAAUCCAAACAAAGGAGACAACAUCUUCAGGAGUUACAACUACUAACCAAUACUUAAUCAUGGUUCGAAUUUCAUUCAAGCCUAGACAACAACUCAUGGACUCUAGUUAAC
RNAcentral lists this long non-coding RNA (381 nucleotides) under Eucalyptus grandis. RNAcentral describes it as "long non-coding RNA (EGRA_LNC002899)". Lineage: Eukaryota; Viridiplantae; Streptophyta; Magnoliopsida; Myrtales; Myrtaceae. The record is from RNAcentral.